UCAUGAUGCCCAGUAAAUAGAUUAUGAGUGAUGAUGAAUUUCUUAGAAGAAAAAUCAGCAUUUCCUCGGACAGAGAACUAGACAAUCUACAUUUAAUUCCGAGCCUUGAGAGCUCUCAUACCAGCAGACACAUGGAUUUCCAGAAUCAAAGACCUGGCCUCUCAGAUCCACCACACCGAAGCUUCCAUAGGUCUCAGGAUGAUUCCAUGGGAAGCACCCGCAGGACUUGGACUGAAGAAAGUGAGUACCGUAGAAACCCAGAGGAGUCAGAUGAGGUACUGACGCCAGUAAAAAAGUUAAGGUACAAAGAUUCAGCAGAACUGAUGGAGAUGGGUAGCGAGAAACCCCCGAGGGGCCCGGCACGGGAGUACAGUGACCUACAUUUGGAGAGUAAUUUGAGGACUCCUAGGUAUGGAACACAUACAAGUUACAGUGACAUGAUGGACAGUGUUCAUGAACAGGACCCAUUCCACGGGGACUAUAAACCCUCAGGGAAAACCAAAAAGUCAAAGAGCAAAAAACACAAGAAGGAUAAGGAUAAAUCUCAAGAGGAGGAUCUAAGUCUCUCUGUGAAAGACCCACUGUCAAAAUCCUCCAGAAAACAAUCAAAGAAAGGAAGGAAGUCCGAGGUCACUGACAGUACAGGUACCUACACCAUUCAGGGAAUAACAAACAAAUCCUUCAGGGACUCGGGGCCUGUUGCAGAUACAAGUUCAGUGAAAAGUAAUGGAACAUACACACUGAAACAGGAGGAUAAUGUUGAUGGAUUGAGGCUGUCUAAGAAAGGUUCAGUUGGAUUUUCCAGAAAGAGAAGAACUAGACGAUCAACGGUCAAACUGGGGGCAUCCAGACUUAAUCAGAGGUCAUUCAGGGAGUUUGUUAUGAGGAACAGAAUAAUGAUCAGAGUUCCAUUACCAGUAGAUGAAUUGGAAACUACUUUACGAAAACAACAUACUCAUCUUCAUAAGCCAACAAAACAGGUUUGGCAUAUUCAAACCCACACCAAACCAGAGCCUACAGAUUCAUUUGGAUAUAUUAAUUUCCAAGGAUAUGGAAACGAGAUUGAAGCAUCUCCCUACCUUCGCUGUGAACCCGACACUAAACCCGAAAUUAUCUGGGAUAUGAUGAUUAACCAGUGGCACCUGGAGCCACCACAGCUGAUUAUCUCUGUCACAGGUGGUGCCCAGCGAUUCGACCUGAAGCGCAGAAUGCAAGAGACUUUCAAACGAGGUCUGAUGAAUGCAGCAACAUCAACUUGUGCUUGGAUCGUGACAGGUGGUACUAGAACAGGGGUGAUGGAGUUUGUGGGUGAUGCAGUCAAAGAUCACAUCAUCACCACCGGGCGUAAAAAUGAUGUAGUAGUCCUGGGGAUAGCUACGUGGGGUUGUGUCGCCAACAGGCAAGCCUUAGAUGGAGAGGAGGGACUAAAGACUGGCCUUUUCCCAGCUGUAUACUCUAAAACAGAUGUUAUGGAAGCCCGAUUGAUGAAUCCAAAGAACAUUCCUUUAGACGAGAAUCACUCCCACUUCCUCCUUAUAGACGAUGGAUCGGAGAAUAAAUUCGGGGCAGAGAUUGACUUCAGAACCAGACUGGAGAAGUACAUCUCUGAGCAGCAUGUGGACCCAUAUGACAAAGAAUCUUCUCUAACCAUCCCAGUUAUUUCUAUAAUUGUUGAGGGAGGGAUAAACUCAAUGAAGACGGUGUGGCAGGCUGUAACUAGAGGGAUCCCUGUCCUUGUCCUACAGUCAUCAGGGAGGGCCGCCGAUUAUAUAGCACACGGCUAUAACAUAACAGCCAGCAAGCUCAGUGAAGAGAAAAGCUACUUUCCCAAAGAUUUUGAUGAAGAAAUGGAGAACCUAGCAAACAUAAUAUUUGAAUGGAAAGAGAAAGACAUGCCAAGAAAACCUGCUUUGAUAGCUAACUGUUUAAAACAGCUGAGAGAAGCUCUGGAGAACAGGGAAAUGUUGACUGUCUUUGAUCUGAAUGACUAUGAAACAAAAGAUUUUGACCGAGCCAUCUUGUAUGCCCUGUUGAAAGCAAACAGAUCCAACACCAAUGCCCAGCUUAGUUUGGCUUUGGCCUGGAAUCGAUCAGACAUAGCUAAAAAUGAGAUCUUCACGGCUUCUAACAAGACAAAUUACCAGGAGCUGAAGUUAGAUGAUGCCAUGAUGACAGCCCUUAUACAGGACCGACUAGAAUUUGUCAAACUCUUCCUAGAAAACGGAAUUGAUCUGACUCAAUUCCUCGACAUCAGAAAUCUGUGGAACCUCUACUCUAAUUGUUUCAAUGACAAAACAGAUGGAGCUGCACAAUUGUUGAUGAACAGAAUAAACUAUCUUAGGCAAACCUGGGGUGCAUAUUUGUGCUGUAAGCAAACAGAAGAUAUUGGGGUAGAACCAGAUUUACUGAAUUACAUAGGGAAAGUCAUAGUUCAUCUCCUUGGUGAUGAGGCCAUGAAUCUUUAUGCAGGAAAUCAGUAUGAUGUUCACAAUGAAGAGGUUGUGUUUGGAUACAUUCCCAAAGCAGAGAAUGCUUGUGAAGAGUACUUGAGUGGUAAGAAUCUGAGUAAGAAAAAGUCCAGGAUCUUCCAAGAGUUCCAGUUUAAGAACCCCGCUAGAGACCUGUUUAUCUGGGCUGUUCUGAUGAACCGAAUGAGUCUGGCAAAGCUUUUCUGGAAGAUCGGAAAAGAUCACAUAGGGUCUGCUCUGUUUGCUAGCUGUCUGUUGAAGGAGCUAUCUAAAGUUGCUGAUGAUGAAGAAGAAGUGGAACUCAGUGUCUCUCUGGAGCAUAACUCCAUGGAGUUUGAGAAACUAGCCUCAGAAAUCUUAGGAAUUUGUUCCAUCCAGAACCGUGAUCUAGCUCACCAACUCCUUGUAAGAGAACUGAGCGAGUUUGGAAACACGACCCUGUUUUGUUUGGCUGAUGAGAAUGUUCUUAUGGAUUUCAUGGGCCAGACAUGUUGUCAGACCAAGCUCAAUGCCAUCUGGAAGGGUCGCAUGGCUCUCUACACUUCAAGCAUAAAGAUUGUAGCUUCAAUAUGCCUUCCAUUCCUGAUUCCUGCCAUUAAGUUUGUGGACAAGAAAAGAAUGGUCCAUGAAGAUGAAUAUGAUGACUUGGCACCACUUCAUCCCACCACUAAAGAGAUGAUCACAGAACAGGAGGCACCACUCAGCAAUAGAGAGGCUUCAGAAGGGUCACCAGGGGGUACUGGUGGAAAAGUGGCCCCCGUCCCAGAAUCCAAAACAAAAAUACUCAAACGAAAGUUUAAAACUGUGAGCUUGUUUGGUGGUAGUAAGGAAGGCGGGGAGGAUAUCAAUUUGUUCCGGGCCAUUUACUACUUCUACACAGCACCAGUCACUAAAUUCACUACAGCAAUGUUUGCCAAUAUCUUGUUCCUGGGGCUGUUCUCUUUGUUUGUGUUGACGGACCUGUACCCUAUCAGUGUCAGUGCCCCCUCCAUCCCAGAGUACCUCACCUGGGCCUACACAGUCACCAGUGCUAUAGAAGAAGGCAGACAGGUUUUAACCAGGGACCAGCGGUCGCUUCUGUAUAAAAUCAGGAGUUGGUACGGCAGUGUGUGGAACCGUUUCGACUUCAUCAUGUACAUAACCUUCCUGACCUCUGUAAUCCUGAGGUUUUCCCUGGAUGGGGAGGACUUUAUGUGGGCUCGUAUGUUGUACAGUCUUACUCUGGCCAUGUACUUUAUUCGCUUCAUGCACUACUUCUAUGCAGAGAAAAAUAUUGGACCCAAAGUCAUCAUGAUAUCUAGAAUGUUGACAGAUCUGAUGUUUUUCCUGUUAAUCUUGUUGGUAUUUAUCCUGAGUUUCGGUGUUGCAUACCAUGCCAACCUGUAUCCUAACUCCCCUCAAGAGUGGGUCCUCCUGAAAGAUGUGGUGUAUCACCCAUACUGGCAGAUGUAUGGAGAACUGUUCCUAGAAAACAAAGAAGGAGCUGACCCCUCAGCAGAAGCUGGGACCUGUACUAACAAUGAGACACUCUGGAGGUCAGGGGACAUGGAUCGUUGUCCAGAGAAGAAUGCCCUUGUCGUGUUGUUGAUGGUCAUCUACAUGCUGUUGACCAACAUACUUCUAGUCAACCUGUUGAUUGCUAUGUUUAGUGACACCUUUCAGAAGGUUCAGGACAACUCGGAGAAGGUAUGGCGGUACCACAGGUACUCCCUGGUGUACGAGUUUUAUGAGCGUCCGGCUCUGUUUCCCCCGCUCAUCAUCUUCAAUCACGUGUUCCGUGUAAUCAGGUGGUUCAUCAACAAAUGUAACAACAGAUGUUGUCAGAACGGAAUCCGCACCAGAAACAGCUUCAAGUUGAAGCUUAGUGAGAAGGACUUGAUCAGGCUGUCUCUGUUUGAACGAGGAGCAAUGGAGGAACAUCAGCAUUCAGUGUUCUCUCUAGAGAAUGACAAGAUUGACAAGAAAAUAGAGACCACCUCAGAAAGGCUUGACAGAGUAAUAGAAGAACUUGACAACAUAAAAGACAAUGUGAUGGCCAAGGAGAAGAUGAUGGGAGGAGACUCUCCCGCCACAGCUAGAUCCACCACUAUGUCCAACAUAGACCCAGAAAUCUACUCAUCCAGGAAAACUCACUCCCAGUUGGAGGUGGAAGUGGACCAGUUAUCAAAUUUUGUUCGGGAAAACAUGCAUGAUCUGAAUGCUUCAAUAAGACGACUGGAAAAACUCAUAUUAGCCUCCACAAAACAGAAGCAACAAGCUCUGGACAUUUCACAUAUACAGUCAACAGAAAGUUAAAAGAUUAAUUUAUCAUCUCAUUUGGGCAUUAGCAUUUGUGAAAAAUGGUCGUUAUCUGAUAGGCCUAUGUUGGGUUGUAAAUAUACCCUCCAUAUGAAUGAAGGAUCAAUAUCUUUUUUAGCUCACCUGAGCCGAAGGCUCAAGUGAGCUAUUCUGAUCAAAAUUUGUCCGUCGUCUGUCGUUGUCGUUGGCGUUGUUGUUGUUGUUGUUGUCGUCGUUGUAAACUUUUCACAUUUUCGACUUCUUCUCAAGAACCGCUGGACCAAUUUCAACCAAACUUGCUACAAAGUAUCCUUGGGUGAAGGGGAUUCAAGUUUGGCCAAGCCCUCUUGCAAGGGGAGAUAAUUAUGAAUUAAUGAAAAAUUAAUUGCAUCUUUUAAAAAUCUUCUGCUCCAGAACCACUUCGCCAGGAAAGAUGAAACUCGUGUGGAAGCAUCCUCAGGUAGUGUAGAUUCAAGUUUGUUCAAAUCAUGACCCCCAGGGUUAGGGCGGGGCCACAAUGGGUGAUAAGAGUUUUACAUAGGGGUAUAUAGGGAAAAUCUUUAAAAAUCUUCUUCUCCAGAACCACUGUGCCAGGAAAGAUGAAACUCAUGUGGAAGCAUCCUCAGGUAGUGUAGAUUCAAUUUUAUACAAAUCAUGAUCCCCGGGGGUAGGGCGGGGCCACAAUGG
Saccostrea cuccullata (small rock oyster) is the source of this 5432-nucleotide RNA transcript. It is a transcript of the gene named transient receptor potential cation channel subfamily M member-like 2, with no coding region annotated. Lineage: Eukaryota; Metazoa; Mollusca; Bivalvia; Ostreida; Ostreidae. The record is from RefSeq and is a predicted model, not a curated record. The transcript is spliced from 27 exons.